Long non-coding RNA from Antechinus flavipes (yellow-footed antechinus), 442 nucleotides. RefSeq lists it as uncharacterized. The transcript has 3 exons. NCBI's taxonomy places the organism in Eukaryota, Metazoa, Chordata, Mammalia, Dasyuromorphia, Dasyuridae. The record is from RefSeq and is a predicted model, not a curated record.
GUCUGCCCGGCCCAUGUGCCCUCUGUCUGCCCGGCCCAGGUGCCCUCUGUCUGCUCGGCCCAGGUGCCCUCUGUCUGCCCGGCCCAGGUGCCUUUAGUCUGCCCGGCCCAGGUGCCCUCUGUCUGCCCGGCCCAGGUGCCCUCUGUCUGCCCGGCCCAGGUGCCCUCUGUCUGCCCGGCCCAGGUGCCCUCUGUCUGCCUGGCCCAGGUGCCCUAUCUCUGCCCGGCCUGUCUGCAGUCUGCCUGGCCCAUCUGUCCUCUGUCCGCCUAGCCCAGGUGCCCUAUCUCUGCCCGGCCCAGGUGCCCUAUCUCUGCCCGGCCCAGGUGCCUUCUGUCUGAGGUCUGUCCGGCCCUUGCCUGUAAUGGGGCACCUGGCAGAUGGAUCUGGUCCAUGAGUGAUGGGUGUCCAAAUGCUUUCCCUGGACCAGGAGCACUUGAAGGCA